UACGUAGGUGGCAAGCGUUGUCCGGAUUUACUGGGUGUAAAGGGCGUGCAGCCGGAGAGGCAAGUCAGAUGUGAAAUCCGCGGGCUCAACCCGCGAACUGCAUUUGAAACUGCUUCCCUUGAGUAUCGGAGAGGUAAUCGGAAUUCCUAGUGUAGCGGUGAAAUGCGUAGAUAUUAGGAAGAACGCCAGUGGCGAAGGCGGAUUACUGGACGACAACUGACGGUGAGGCGCGAAAGCGUGGGGAGCAAACAGG
This 253-nucleotide ribosomal RNA is filed under the name uncultured bacterium. RNAcentral describes it as "partial 16S ribosomal RNA". It matches the Rfam family "Bacterial small subunit ribosomal RNA", at positions 524 to 776 of the family's 1533-position model. The record is from RNAcentral.